This 667-nucleotide ribosomal RNA is filed under the name uncultured fungus. Its description in RNAcentral is "eukaryotic LSU rRNA". It matches the Rfam family "Eukaryotic large subunit ribosomal RNA", at positions 24 to 664 of the family's 3401-position model. Lineage: Eukaryota; Fungi. The record is from RNAcentral.
CCCGCUGAACUUAAGCAUAUCAAUAAGCGGAGGAAAAGAAACUAACAAGGAUUCCCCUAGUAACUGCGAGUGAACCGGGAAAAGCUCAAAUUUUGAAUCUGGCGGUCUUCAGGCCGUCCGAGUUGUAAUCUAGAGAGGUGCUUUCCGCGCUGGACCGUGUACAAGUCUCUUGGAAUAGAGCAUCAUAGAGGGUGAGAAUCCCGUCUUUGACACGGACUGCCAGGGCUAUGUGAUGCGCUCUCGACGAGUCGAGUUGUUUGGGAAUGCAGCUCAAAUAGGGUGGUAAAUUCCAUCUAAAGCUAAAUACAGGCGAGAGACCGAUAGCGAACAAGUACCGUGAGGGAAAGAUGAAAAGAACUUUGGAAAGAGAGUUAAACAGUACGUGAAAUUGCUGAAAGGGAAACGCUUGAUGUCAGUCGCGUCGUCCGGGGAUCAGCCUUGCUCUUUUGCUCGGUGUAUUUCCUGGUCGACGGGUCAGCAUCGGUUUUGACCGUCGGAAAAUGGCUCGAGGAAUGCGGCACCCUUCGGGGUGUGUUAUAGACUCGGGUCGAAUACGGCGAUUGGGACCGAGGAACUCAGCACGACCUUAGGGUUCGGGGCUUCGGCCCACGUUAACGUGCUUAGGAUGCUGGCAUAAUGGCCUUAAGCGACCCGUCUUGAAACACGG